CCUACGGGUGGCUGCAGUGGGGAAUAUUGGACAAUGGGCGAAAGCCUGAUCCAGCCAUGCCGCGUGUGUGAAGAAGGCCUUCGGGUUGUAAAGCACUUUCAGUGGGGAAGAAAGCCUUGGGGCUAAUACCCUCGAGGAAGGACAUCACCCACAGAAGAAGCACCGGCUGAACUCCGUGCCAGCAGCCGCGGUAAUACGGAGGGUGCGAGCGUUAAUCGGAAUUACUGGGCGUAAAGCGCGCGUAGGCGGUCUGAUAAGCCGGUUGUGAAAGCCCCGGGCUCAACCUGGGAACGGCAUCCGGAACUGUCAGGCUAGAGUGCAGGAGAGGAAGGUAGAAUUCCCGGUGUAGCGGUGAAAUGCGUAGAGAUCGGGAGGAAUACCAGUGGCGAAGGCGGCCUUCAGGACUGACACUGACGCUGAGGUGCGAAAGCGUGGGUAGCAAACAGGAUUAGAUACCCGGGUAGUC
RNAcentral lists this ribosomal RNA (466 nucleotides) under Vreelandella stevensii. Its description in RNAcentral is "partial 16S ribosomal RNA". It matches the Rfam family "Bacterial small subunit ribosomal RNA", at positions 338 to 795 of the family's 1533-position model. Lineage: Bacteria; Pseudomonadati; Pseudomonadota; Gammaproteobacteria; Oceanospirillales; Halomonadaceae. The record is from RNAcentral.